GAGUUUGAUCCUGGCUCAGGAUGAACGCUGGCGGCGUGCUUAACACAUGCAAGUCGAACGAAGCACUUUUGAUUGAUCCUUCGGGUGAUUGAUGAGGUGACUGAGUGGCGGACGGGUGAGUAACGCGUGGGCAACCUGCCUUGUACAGGGGGACAACAGUUGGAAACGACUGCUAAUACCGCAUAAGCGCACAGCUUCGCAUGAAGCAGUGUGAAAAACUCCGGUGGUACAAGAUGGGCCCGCGUUGGAUUAGCUAGUUGGUGGGGUAACGGCCUACCAAGGCGACGAUCCAUAGCCGACCUGAGAGGGUGACCGGCCACAUUGGGACUGAGACACGGCCCAAACUCCUACGGGAGGCAGCAGUGGGGAAUAUUGCACAAUGGGCGCAAGCCUGAUGCAGCGACGCCGCGUGAGCGAAGAAGUAUUUCGGUAUGUAAAGCUCUAUCAGCAGGGAAGAAAAUGACGGUACCUGACUAAGAAGCUCCGGCUAAAUACGUGCCAGCAGCCGCGGUAAUACGUAUGGAGCAAGCGUUAUCCGGAUUUACUGGGUGUAAAGGGAGCGUAGACGGAUUUGCAAGUCUGAUGUGAAAGCCUGGGGCUCAACCCCGGAACUGCAUUGGAAACUGCAGAUCUUGAGUGCCGGAGAGGUAAGCGGAAUCCUAGUGUAGCGGUGAAAUGCGUAGAUAUUAGGAGGAACACCAGUGGCGAAGGCGGCUUACUGGACGGUAACUGACGUUGAGGCUCGAAAGCGUGGGGAGCAACAGGAUUAGAUACCCUGGUAGUCCACGCGGUAAACGAUGAUUACUAGGUGUUGGGCAGCAAAGCUGUUCGGUGCCGCAGCAAACGCAAUAAGUAAUCCACCUGGGGAGUACGUUCGCAAGAAUGAAACUCAAAGGAAUUGACGGGGACCCGCACAAGCGGUGGAGCAUGUGGUUUAAUUCGAAGCAACGCGAAGAACCUUACCAAGUCUUGACAUCCCGGUGACCGGACAGUAAUGUGUCCUUUUCUUCGGAACACCGGUGACAGGUGGUGCAUGGUUGUCGUCAGCUCGUGUCGUGAGAUGUUGGGUUCAGUCCCGCAACGAGCGCAACCCCUAUCUUCAGUAGCCAGCAUUUAGGAUGGGCACUCUGGAGAGACUGCCAGGGAUAACCUGGAGGAAGGUGGGGAUGACGUCAAAUCAUCAUGCCCCUUAUGACUUGGGCUACACACGUGCUACAAUGGCGUAAACAAAGGGAAGCGAGCCUGCGAGGGGGAGCAAAUCUCAAAAACACGCUCCCAGUUCGGACUGCAGUCUGCAACUCGACUGCACGAAGCUGGAAUCGCUAGUAAUCGCGAAUCAGAAUGUCGCGGUGAAUACGUUCCCGGGUCUUGUACACAC
Molecule: ribosomal RNA, 1378 nt
Filed under: uncultured bacterium
Lineage: Bacteria
Description: bacterial SSU rRNA
Rfam family: Bacterial small subunit ribosomal RNA
Source: RNAcentral